GUCCACACCUUAAACGAUGAAUACUUGGUGUCGGGUCGAAAGGCUCGGUGCCAAAGCUAACGCAUUAAGUAUUCCACCUGGGGAGUACGAUCGCAAGGUUGAAACUCAAAGGAAUUGACGGGGGCCCGCACAAGCAGUGGAGCAUGUGGUUCAAUUCGAUGCAACGCGAAGAACCUUACCUGGGUUUGAAAGGCAAGAUUCUAGUCCCUGAAAGGGGAUUACCCGCAAGGGGUCUUGUACAGGUGCUGCAUGGCUGUCGU
This 260-nucleotide ribosomal RNA is filed under the name uncultured bacterium. RNAcentral's name for it is "partial 16S ribosomal RNA". It matches the Rfam family "Bacterial small subunit ribosomal RNA", at positions 793 to 1055 of the family's 1533-position model. The record is from RNAcentral.